This 510-nucleotide ribosomal RNA is filed under the name uncultured bacterium. RNAcentral's name for it is "bacterial SSU rRNA". It matches the Rfam family "Bacterial small subunit ribosomal RNA", at positions 8 to 518 of the family's 1533-position model. The record is from RNAcentral.
AGAGUUUGAUUAUGGCUCAGGAUGAACGCUGGCGGCGUGCUUAACACAUGCAAGUCGAACGGAGUUUUAAACGGAAGUUUUCGGAUGGAAGUUUAGAAACUUAGUGGCGGACGGGUGAGUAACGCGUGGGUAACCUGCCUCAUACAGGGGGAUAACAGUUAGAAAUGACUGCUAACACCGCAUAAUAUAGCGAAACCGCAUGAUUUUGCUAUCAAAUAUUUAUAGGUAUGAGAUGGGCCCGCGUCUGAUUAGCUAGUUGGUGGGGUAAAAGCCUACCAAGGCGACGAUCAGUAGCCGGCUUGAGAGAGUGACCGGCCACAUUGGGACUGAGACACGGCCCAAACUCCUACGGGAGGCAGCAGUGGGGAAUAUUGGACAAUGGGGGAAACCCUGAUCCAGCGAACCGCCGCGUGAGUGAAGAAGUAUUUCGGUAUGUAAAGCUCUAUCAGCAGGGAAGAUAAUGACAGUACCUGACUAAGAAGCCCCGGCUAACUACGUGCCAGCAGCCGC